AAUUGUAACUAGUUUUUAUUGUAGUUGCAUCUUUGUAAUGAGUUGAUUUGGAUUUUACUACAUAUUGCCUUUCUUGAGUGUGCCUGUCGUUGAUGGUUGUAAAUUCAAGUGUCAUGUUAGCAUUAAAGUUGGAGAGAAAUUUGUUUGGUUCAUGUGUAUUAUUUGAAGGAAUUUCAUUGCUCUGUUAUGUGCCUUGUUGAUUUUGAUCUCUAAAUGAUGCAAACUGUCUUGAGCUAUGGACUAGCUCCGAUGAAGCUUAAUUGUCAUAGUUACACUGAUAGAGGUCAUUUAUGUUUUUUCUUCCAAAGACUUGAUUUAAUUUUGUUCUGAUUGAAAUUGGUUUAUAUCUCUCUGAUUUCUUUCCAGUUUACCAUGUUCUCUUAAAAUUAUCCUAACGUGGUUUAUGUUAUAUUGUAAUUUGAUCAAGUUUUCUCUGUAUGAUGAAGAAAUCAUAGGCUAUGGAUGAACUCCAAUGAAGCCUGUUUCUGUCAUAGUUACACUGACAGAGAAUUGUUGAUUUUCUAUUCCAUUGUGUUAUUUUAUCUUCUUGUUGAAUGUUAUCAUGCACUGUCGUCAAAUACUUGUUUGCCUUAUAAAUUAAUUUUUAUUCUGAUGAAUUUUGCAAAAACUAUAAAUUUGAUUUUUCUUUCCAAAUCCGCUGUACAACUAUCUUGUUAUGAUCCAUAAUAACAUUGGAUUGUGAAUUUAUGAACUGAUCUCUACAUGAUGAAGAAAUCAUAGGCUAUGGUUUAACUCCAAUGAUGCCUCUUUUUGUCAUAGUUACACUGAUAGAGAGAAUCGUUCGUUCUCUAUUCUAUAUAUGCCUGAUUGAUGGCCACUAUUUACAUUUUGAAUGUCUAGUCCACUGGGAAAUAGUAUGUACCAUGAGGGUUGUUUCAUUUUUACGUGUAAUAUGACUUUUUCUCAAGUUUUUGGGGGCAUUUUUGGUUGUUGACUAUGAUUAUAUAUUAAAGGUUUGCGGUAUCCUUUACCUCAUAAUCUCUUCAUAUACUUCUAACAGUACUGUAAUUGUCUCUUUAUUUAGAUUCAUGACUGUAUAUGUGGAAUUUAACAUUUGUAGCAAAUUAAUUAUAACAAAAGCAACUUUGCCGAGGCAAUCAGUACCAUAUUGGUUUCCUCUUUUCCCUGUUGCUGAUACUAGAAUUGGCUAAAUUUUUUUCAUGGCUGUACUGAUGUAUUCAGUCCGUGCGCUUGUCUAGUAUAGCCAACAUACUAUGUACUAAAUUCAUUACUUAGUACUUGUUCUUUACUUGUAUGUAUUCCAUAUACGUAACAUGUUACUGCUAUAUGCCUCUCUUUUUAGACUUGACAAUCUUUGCUUACAUUCUGAUAUUUGUAUAAAGUUUUUAAGGUUAUAUUAAAGGCAACUUUGCUGAGGUGAUCGGUUCCAUAUUGGUUUCUUCUUUUCCCUGUUUCUGAUACUAGAAUUGGCUGAAAAUUGUUUCAUGGUUGUGCUGAUCUAUACCGUCAGUGCACUUGUUUAUUAUAAGCCAACAUACAUUACUUAUUCUUUACUUGUCUGAUCAUCCCUUAAUAUAUUUUCUGAUGAUGUUACUGUAGUUUGCUUCGCUUUUUAGCCUUUCCAGUCUAUGCUCUGAUUUUGAUAUUUGUAUCAAAUGUGUAUAAUUAAGGCAACUUUGCCGAGGUGAUCAUUACCAUAUUGGUUUCCUCUUUUCCCUGUUGCUGAUACUAGAAUUGGCUGAAAAUAGUUUUAUAGUUGUGCUGAUUUAUAUAGUCAGCACACUUUGUAGCCAACAUAAU
Vigna umbellata (rice bean) is the source of this 1782-nucleotide non-coding RNA. Lineage: Eukaryota; Viridiplantae; Streptophyta; Magnoliopsida; Fabales; Fabaceae. The record is from RefSeq and is a predicted model, not a curated record.